CGGAUGCAUGCUGUUGCUGGUGGAGUUGGAGCACGCCGGCGCUCCGGCCGCCCUCUUCCUCCCUGUUCCCUCCCAUCCCUCCUACUACAGCCAGGGCUGUAGCCGCCCUCUUCUCUCCCCGUACCCCUCUUCCUCCCUGUUCCUUCCCACCCCUUCUCCCGCAGGCUCCAGCUGUGGUGGUGGGGGUGAGCAGCUGCCGUCCGGUGGCCUGGGGAGUGAGGAGGGCGCCGUUCUAAAGCACGAGAGCUCGGCGCAUGGCGACAGUAUAGAUCGGCUACAGCGGCGGCGACGGCCCAACGGCGAAAGGGGAUGGCUGCAUGAUGAUCUUGUUCUGAUCAAUUCUGAAAUAUGAAUGGAGGACUACUAUGGGUCGCUGUUGAGGAUGCUGGGUUACCUGACAGUAGUUUACUUGCCAGAUUUUAGAUUGGAGCUUAGCAUGAACUGAAGAGAGGAUACUUCAACAUGUAUGUGCUGAAAGGCAAAUUAAUUUGGAAGUUUAUUGUAACUGGUACACAGUAUUGGCAUUAAAAGCGCGAGCGCUGUGAGGGAAGCCAAGCAAGUUCCUGCUAGAUCGUGAAGAAAUACACUUUGUCUUAUGAGAUCAUCCUGAUUGUCAUCAAAAGCAAAGGUCCCUAAACAAGCAAAUUGCAUUUAUGUGCUCUGACAUCUUCGUGUUACUUUUAGUGGAAAGCAGUACAAAGUGUCAAUUUCACAUGCCAAUACUAAUUAUUCACCUAGCUUAUGCAAAUUAUCCAGCAUUUUCCGUUCAGAUAUGAUCUGCUGCAAACACCAUAAGUCACCACUCACCAGCACAUGACCGUUCCCUCUAGAACUUUGACCGUCGUGUCAUUUGAUGGAGAAAGAACAAGAUGGCCGAGCGACAAACUGAACAACGCCGGAAAGCUGCAACAAACGAGUGGUGGCAGCGCAUACACUUGUUGAGCUGUGGAGGCACCCAUUAGCCACCCACCCACCCAUGGAACAGAGAUUGAUAUAUUGAAGUUUGUAAUGGCUAAUGGCCAAACAUAUGAAUCUGUUCUUGAUACUCCUUUUCCCUUUUCUUAAUAUCAUCACAUAAAAAUUAGAAGCUUUCUAACAUAUGCAUAUUUCAGGUUUCAGAAGAGGUAGAGAAAGAGUUGUUCAGACAAUUCAGUGCAGAAGCAACACCUCCAAGGUGAGAAAUAUGUUUCUGUUUAGCCUUCUUUGCUAGCUGUGUUCCUCUGUUUUUUUUACUGAACUGUGCUCCUCUGUUUGGAUGAUUAUUGGAGAGAAAGAGAGAUGAUAUGGAGACCACGAGUAUGUGUGUAUGGAUCGGGGAGUGGUAGAUUUUGGGCCAAAUACAUUAUAACCGGCAACCAACUUGAUAAACAGAUUCAUUACCCUCUCCUUUGAAAUGAAUUUUUGCUUGGAACAUUUCUUAUUUCUUUAUCUGUUAGUGCUUGAUUCUAUCUCUGCUCUGUCUGAGGCCAUCGGCGCCGAUGUGACCGAGGUGGAGGCGACCAGCAAGAGGGAGGCUAGCGCGACCAAUUUCCUCGAGCUGUUCAACUUAUUAGUCCUUGCAAUUCCAAAUUCACAUAGGUAUGUAGGCUGUAACGGCACCGCUGUAGCCAUCGCUGCCUUCUCCAAUCCUUGGUAGCAGAUUAAUGCAUAGUAGGUGAGUGCUUCAGGCUGUAGAUUUGGCUCGCUUCCUGAGUACCUCAUGUCUCAUGUGGUUAAAGCUAUGCGAGUAAUUAUGAAGGCUUGAUCACCAGGAAACAUCCAUGUCAAUUAUGUGUUUGCUGAAUUUCCUUAAGCAUAUGGGAUUCAGUUGUUUGAUGAAUUGCCCCCAAAUGGUUUUGAUGAAUUUCCUUAAGUAGGCUUCUUUUCAUAGUUAAUUUCAGUAGAUCUUGCUUUAUCUGUACACAUGAAUGUAAGGAUCUGUACAAUUUGUUGAUGGUUUGGCAAGUAAUGUAAAUCUUCCAAUUGACGAUUCUCUAGGAUUCUAUAGUCUAAGUUUCUCUCUUUCCAUCCCUGUAGGGUUAUCCUGGUUUCGUUAGCGUCAUAACUCUCAGUGAAUAUAAGUCCAUUGUUUCCUUUUUAUUGGUAUGUGAGAAAAGUGGAUGUGCAUGCCUCCAUUCAAACAAAGACUGAAUCUUACUGUAAAGCAAAUUCAAACCCAUUGAGACUAGCUUUUCCAAGACUUAAAUUAUUGAGAGUGUCACUUUCAUACAUCAUGAUUGGUGCUACAGUUAUACUUAACAUACAAAAACAUUCAUAUCUUGCUGGAAGCUGUGCUUCUCUACUUUAUACAUGUUUUUUGAUGUGCAAUGCUGCCACUUACUACAUUGCCUGCCACAUGCUCCGACGAAUGUCUCAGUUAUGUAGCGAAUAACGUGAUUUGAACAAAAUUAUUACGAGCUUUGCUAUUUUCACACGGAUGGGUUCAUGGAUUAAGGUUUCCUAUUUUUCCUUUGUAUUGUCAUGGCCACAAAACUGCUAUUAGUUACUUACACAUUUAAACUCAUUUCUACUCAUAAUGCGUACAUUACUUGGAGAAGGAACUGCCUUCCAAGCUAAACGAUUUCUGUCUUACAGACAUCCAAAAAAUCUUCAACCCUCAUUGUAUAUAAUAUAUUAUAAAUCUUCAACUCUCACUGUAUAAUUAUUUUGCGGGGUAACUCUCAUUGUAUAAUAAAAUUAUAUAUCUUCAACCUCAAUGUAUAAUAAAAUUACAAUCUUCAGGGUUCUGUAAUGUUCUUUUAGAGCACGUGAAACGCGUGCCAUAUUUUCAUAGAAGGCUAAUGGUUGACAAUCCAUAUUUUGUGCUCUUAUAUUUGGUUUCAUUUGAUUGUUGAAAUAUAAGUACACUAUAAACCUAACUAUAGGUACUAAACCUAGCCCAUGCUUGAUUAUAAGUUUAUAACACACAUUAUUACUAUUGAAAGCUAUAUUAAAUCCUAAAUUUGACUCUUCUGAUAAUGAAAUGAAGGUGAGGAAUGUCAUCUUUCUUUGGCAGAAGAAAUUAUGUUUCAGUUUUGAUUUUAUUUUUUAAUGUUCUAUAUGUAUUUUUAUUCUUAUGCUUGAUUUAAAAAGAACAUCUGAUCAGAAAUGCUUAUAUCUUAACUUAAUCGACAAAUCAAAGAACACAUUCAUUUCUAAGCCGUUUUCCAAAGAUUGGCUAGCUGAAAUCACAAUUCUCCUUCAUGUUAUUCCUGAACACACAUUCCCAUCGCUUUGCAUAUUGGAUUGGGAUGU
This is a long non-coding RNA of Triticum aestivum (bread wheat), 3234 nucleotides long. RefSeq lists it as uncharacterized. NCBI's taxonomy places the organism in Eukaryota, Viridiplantae, Streptophyta, Magnoliopsida, Poales, Poaceae. The record is from RefSeq and is a predicted model, not a curated record. The transcript is spliced from 3 exons.